Long non-coding RNA from Suricata suricatta (meerkat), 197 nucleotides. RefSeq lists it as uncharacterized. The record is from RefSeq and is a predicted model, not a curated record. The transcript is spliced from 3 exons. NCBI's taxonomy places the organism in Eukaryota, Metazoa, Chordata, Mammalia, Carnivora, Herpestidae.
GGAUAGAAUUUGGAAACAAUUGACCAGUAUAACAGUCUCUGCUGUGUAGAAAGAGAAUCAGAACCAUCUACUGCAGGUGAUCUGUAAAAGGAGACUGUUGUCUUUGACAUUUGCCCUCAACAUAGAAUGGAGACCACAAUGCUAUGUAACUAGAAAUCAACCACAAGAAAAAAAUUGGUGAAGACAGCAAAUACUUG